Lepus europaeus (European hare) is the source of this 964-nucleotide long non-coding RNA. RefSeq lists it as uncharacterized. The transcript is spliced from 2 exons. Lineage: Eukaryota; Metazoa; Chordata; Mammalia; Lagomorpha; Leporidae. The record is from RefSeq and is a predicted model, not a curated record.
GCACGAUUGGGUGUGGAUCCGUGUUCCCCGAGAGCAGAGCGCCCGUACGGGAUGCGGGCACUGCAGACGGUGGCUUUACCGUGGUCCUUCUAAACGAAUUAAUUCAGCAAGUACUCGUUUAGCCCCGACGCCAUGCCAAGCACUGGGCACAAAGCAGCGAGCAAAGCCGACCAGGAGCCCCGGUCUUGGGGAGCCGACCCUUGUGGUGGGGCAGACACGGGGUGGGGGGCGGCGAAGGUCAGGGAGCAGUCAGUGUGGGGCACAGAAGUGACGGAAGCUUGGGGACGACGCGCGGUGGGCGUGUGUGUACGUGUGUGUGUGUUUGCAUGCGUGCUCACACGUGCAUUCUUGUGCAUGUGUGUGCGUGUGUGGGUGUGUGUGCGUGUGUGGGUGUGUGUGUACGUGUGUGUGUGUUUCAAGCAGCACUUGAUUAGGGCAUUUUGCCAGUGUGCAGACAAGGAGACAGAAUCGUAUCUCCAACCCCACGUGCCCAUCGCCCUGUUACCAGAAGUCUUUGCUUUCUGCUCUUCUUGCUUCUUGUGGCUUCCUUAUUUUCAUUUUGUUUUCUGGAGAGUUUUUUUAAAAAAUAUUUACUUGUUUGAAAGGCAGAGUUACAGAGACAGAGAUAAAGAGAGAGAGGAGGUCUUCCAUCCACUGGUUCACUCCCCAAACGCCUGCAGCAGCCAAGACCGGGUCAGGCUGAAGCCAGGAGCCUGGAGCUGAGCCUGGGCCUCCCGCCUCUCUGCUAUGGAAUGGGAACACAGUGGAGGAUGGCCCAAGUGCUUGGGCCCCUGCACCCACGUGGGAGACCCGGAAGAAGCUCCUGGCCUCAGAUCAGCGCAGCUCUGGCCGAUGCAGCCAUUUGGGGAGUGAGCCAGUGGAUGGAAGCGCUCUCUCUCUCUCUCUCCCUCCCUCCCUCUCUGACUUUCAAAUCAAUAAAUAAGUCUUGAGGGAGAAAACCGUA